UGCAUCGAUGAAAAAACGCAGCGAAAUGCGAUAAGUAAUGUGAAUUGCAGAAUUCAGUGAAUCAUCGAAUCUUUGAACGCACAUUGCGCCCGCCAGUAUUCUGGCGGGCAUGCCUGUCCGAGCGUCAUUUCAACCCUCGAACCCCUCCGGGGGGUCGGCGUUGGGGAUCGGCCCUCCCUUAGCGGGUGGCCGUCUCCGAAAUACAGUGGCGGUCUCGCCGCAGCCUCUCCUGCGCAGUAGUUUGCACACUCGCAUCGGGAGCGCGGCGCGUCCACAGCCGUUAAACACCCAACUUCUGAAAUGUUGACCUCGGAUCAGGUAGGAAUACCCGCUGAAACUUAAGCAUAUCA
RNAcentral lists this ribosomal RNA (350 nucleotides) under Trichoderma atroviride. Its description in RNAcentral is "eukaryotic LSU rRNA". The stretch from base 1 to 127 matches the Rfam family "5.8S ribosomal RNA", at positions 29 to 154 of the family's 154-position model. Lineage: Eukaryota; Fungi; Ascomycota; Sordariomycetes; Hypocreales; Hypocreaceae. The record is from RNAcentral.